Molecule: long non-coding RNA, 1023 nt
Filed under: Nicotiana benthamiana
Lineage: Eukaryota; Viridiplantae; Streptophyta; Magnoliopsida; Solanales; Solanaceae
Description: long non-coding RNA (NBEN_LNC029963)
Source: RNAcentral
GGCAUAAGAAGUCUGUGUAUGGUAUAUUAGAGUGUGCAAUUUUUCUUCUUAGUGAUUGUUCCAUUUGUUAACUGAAUUUGCCCUUCUACAUCUGCCUUGGUACAUUAGAAAUUAUAUUGUAUGAGUGCAGAUAGAUGAUAAAGGAGUUGGUGGUAAUAUAAUUGCUAUCAUUUGGUUAAAAAAUUGUGCAGUGCUUGUUGCUGUUUGGUUUGCGUAUUUGGCCCUCUUUCGCUAACAUUCUUCUCUAAAUUCCUUGAUCAGGAUUAGGAAGGGGAAUAGGCAGAGGAGGUCGUCCUGGCAGGCGAACUUUUGGUAGGGGAAGCAGCCUUGAUCAUGAUUAGGAAGGGGAAUAGGCAGAGGAGGUCGUCCUGGCAGGCGAACUUUUGGUAGGGGAAGCAAUCCAGAUGGCAGAGUGAAAAGCAAUGGCUUUCGUGGAAUAUGAUGAUACUACAACAUGAAUGGUCAAACUUGCAUACUUAGUUACGAUUCUGCUGUUGAGAUCAAUAAGGAACAUGGUUACUGGUUAGCUUUUAUAUUUUUGAUGUUAUUGUCUUUCUAUGAAGAAUUAUAUUGCUACCAGUUCUCUUUUCCCUGAGCAUUUUGAGAGAGAUUUUUCCCAUCUUUCUCUUGUAGCUUAUAUUGGUCUUGGUGUUUAUGAUUACCAGUUGUACCCGUAUGAUAUUGAACUUAUAUUCCAAAUCUGGGUCUUGAUAAUGUGCUUUUGUAGAAGAACUAGGCUCAUGACUAGCAUCUUGUAUGUUCAUUAUUUUCUUUUUAUUGUUCGAUCAAUUUAUUUAGUCUAGACAUUCAAGAUAAAAGAUAAUGACUUUACUUAUCCUCUUUUGUAGGUGGAGUAGAUCAAGAAAUAGAAGAGGAAGGCAAUGAAGAUAUAGACCUUAUUUAAGAUGAAUUUUGAAUUGCUAUAAAUGAAUGUUCUAGUAAUCUUUUGUUGUCUGUAUUUUGAAACUUACUAUCUUGAAAUGUAUUAAACUUAUGAACUUGGUGUAGAACAUUUACUUUUAU